This 334-nucleotide ribosomal RNA is filed under the name uncultured bacterium. RNAcentral's name for it is "bacterial SSU rRNA". It matches the Rfam family "Bacterial small subunit ribosomal RNA", at positions 568 to 898 of the family's 1533-position model. The record is from RNAcentral.
CCCGUAGGCGGCUUGGUAAGUCGGGUGUGAAAACCCCAGGCUCAACCUGGGGACGCCACCCGAUACUGCCAUGGCUUGAGUCUGGUAGGGGAGUGCGGAACUCCUGGUGUAGCGGUGAAAUGCAUAGAUAUCAGGAAGAACACCGGUGGCGAAGGCGGCACUCUGGGCCAGUACUGACGCUGAUGGGCGAAAGCGUGGGGAGCAAACAGGAUUAGAUACCCUGGUAGUCCACGCCGUAAACGUUGGGCACUAGGUGUGGGGGGGUUUCAACGCCCUCUGUGCCGUAGCUAACGCAUUAAGUGCCCCGCCUGGGGAGUACGGCCGCAAGGCUAAA